RNAcentral lists this transfer RNA (85 nucleotides) under Methanomicrobiales archaeon. RNAcentral's name for it is "tRNA-Leu". The record is from RNAcentral. Lineage: Archaea; Methanobacteriati; Methanobacteriota; Methanomicrobia; Methanomicrobiales.
GCGAGGGUUGCCAAGCCAGGUCAAAGGCGCUGGCUUGAGGGGCCAGUCCCGCAGGGGUUCGUGCGUUCAAAUCGCACCCCUCGCA